CUUUAAUUAUUACUUAAUGAAAUCUAUAGAGCGGAAGAAAUGAGAUAAUUAGUAUUAAGACCUAAGAAAAUUUCAUUAUAAAGAUCUAAAUCCUUCUAAUUAACCAAGGAUUUCUAAAAGACAAGGUCAAAAAUGUCCUCACAAAUAAUUCGAAGAACAGGGGUAAAUAUGUAACUUCAGGUAUGGAGUAGACGAAUGGUGUCGCGACUUUUAAUGCAAGAAGCGCAACAGAACAUGGUCUGGUUGAGCCACAACAGAAAAAGAACCGCCUCGCACCGAGCGAGCUAUUCAUUUAGGGCUUUCGGCCGAUCUCGAUCUCUUCCUCUCCCUCAGUCUCCCUCUUUGGCACCCCGGCUCUCUCUGCCGUGUCUCUCUGAGGUCGUUAUGGCGAUUCCAGGCCCUUACUCCGGCGUCAGCACCCUCGCCUUCGUGGCUCGCGCCUCGGCUUUUACCUUCGGGACUGUCUACGGAAGCAUCAAGCUUUCCUAUCUCCGGG
Long non-coding RNA from Musa acuminata AAA Group (dessert banana), 496 nucleotides. RefSeq lists it as uncharacterized. The transcript has 2 exons. The record is from RefSeq and is a predicted model, not a curated record. NCBI's taxonomy places the organism in Eukaryota, Viridiplantae, Streptophyta, Magnoliopsida, Zingiberales, Musaceae.